RNAcentral lists this ribosomal RNA (253 nucleotides) under uncultured bacterium. Its description in RNAcentral is "partial 16S ribosomal RNA". It matches the Rfam family "Bacterial small subunit ribosomal RNA", at positions 524 to 776 of the family's 1533-position model. The record is from RNAcentral.
UACAGAGGGGGCAAGCGUUGUUCGGAAUUACUGGGCGUAAAGGGCGCGUAGGCGGCCUGCUAAGUCGAACGUGAAAUCCCUGGGCUCAACCCAGGAACUGCGUCCGAUACUGGUUGGCUUGAAUCCGGGAGAGGGACGUGGAAUUCCAGGUGUAGCGGUGAAAUGCGUAGAUAUCAGGAGGAAUACCGAUGGCGAAGGCAGGUCUCUGGGCUGACACUGACGCUCAUGCACGAAAGCGUGGGGAGCAAACAGG